GACGAACGCUGGCGGCGUGCUUAACACAUGCGAGUCGAACGCUGAAGCUCAGCUUUUGUUGGGUGGAUGAGUGGCGAACGGGUGAGUAACACGUGAGUAACCUGCCUCCUUCUUUGGGAUAACGCCCGGAAACGGGUGCUAAUACUGGAUAUUCACUGGUCUUCGCAUGGGGGUUGGUGGAAAGGGUUUUUCUGGUGGGGGAUGGGCUCGCGGCCUAUCAGCUUGUUGGUGGGGUGAUGGCCUACCAAGGCUUUGACGGGUAGCCGGCCUGAGAGGGUGCCCGGUCACAUUGGGACUGAGAUACGGCCCAGACUCCGACGGGAGGCAGCAGUGGGGAAUAUUGCACAAUGGGCGCAAGCCUGAUGCAGCGACGCCGCGUGAGGGAUGGAGGCCGUCGGGUUGUGAACCUCUUUCGCUCAUGGUCAAGCCGCAACAAUGGUUGUGGUGAGGGUAGUGGGUAAAGAAGCGCCGGCUAACUACGUG
Molecule: ribosomal RNA, 483 nt
Filed under: uncultured bacterium
Lineage: Bacteria
Description: partial 16S ribosomal RNA
Rfam family: Bacterial small subunit ribosomal RNA
Source: RNAcentral